GCAAGAUUAAAACUCAAAGGAAUAGACGGGGACCCGCACAAGCGGCGGAGCAUGUGGUUUAAUUCGACGAUACGCGAAGAACCUUACCUGGCCUUGACAUAGAAAGAACUUUCCAGAGACGGAUUGGUGCUAGUUUACUAGAGCUUUCAUACAGGUGCUGCACGGCUGUCGUCAGCUCGUGUCGUGAGAUGUUGGGUUAAGUCCCGCAACGAGCGCAACCCUCGUGUUUAGUUACUAACAGUUCGGCUGAGGACUCUAAACAGACUGCCUGGGUAACCAGGAGGAAGGUGAGGACGACGUCAAGUCAUCAUGGCCCUUACGGCCAGGGCUACACACGUGCUACAAUGGGGUAUACAAAGAGCUGCAAUACGGUGACGUGGAGCAAAUCUCAUAAAAUAUCUCCCAGUUCGGAUUGAAGUCUGCAACUCGACUUCAUGAAGUUGGAAUCGCUAGUAAUCGUAGAUCAGCAAUGCUACGGUGAAUACGUUCCCGGGUCUUGUACUCACCGCCCGUCACACCAUGGGAAUUGAAUUCAUUCGAAGCGGGGAUGCUAAAAUAGCUACCUUCCACAGUGGAUUUAGUAACUAGGGUGAAGUCGUAACAAGGUA
RNAcentral lists this ribosomal RNA (608 nucleotides) under uncultured bacterium. Its description in RNAcentral is "bacterial SSU rRNA". It matches the Rfam family "Bacterial small subunit ribosomal RNA", at positions 888 to 1498 of the family's 1533-position model. The record is from RNAcentral.